AAAAGAACAUGUUUCACUUGUAUCAUUUAAACAGGAGAUCAGAAAUGGUUUUCUGUCAAAGGCCAAUGAAGCAUGCUCAGCUUUUAUGGCCCUAUCACAAUCCGUCACAACUGCACCACUCUGCCUUGGCAGCCCUGAGACAACCAUCGGCUUACAGCACGUGGUCAGCAGGGCUGUGCCCAACCAAACCCACUCCUUCCACAAACGGCCAAUGGGCAAGGCUCAGAUUUGGCACCACCGACCUCGUUCGAAUCCUGGCGUCAGACUAAUAAUAAACCAUGAGGCUCUGUGUCUCGAUGGGCCUGUUGGGAAAUCCGCCGGGCACUUAGGCAGCUGAAAACUCUCAGCGCUUUCAUACUGAGGGAGCGUUAAUGACUCUCCUGGAUAUUUAUGGAUUUUAUCGGUUUCUUAAGUAAGUACUGUUCCAUUAUUAUGCCAAAUAUGUCUCUGGUUAAAAUUAAGAGGGAGAUAAACAAGUCUAAUUUUUAUGGUUCCAUCUGGUCACAGGCCAAUGAAGAAGCAGUUAAGCCCGUUACUGCUAAUCUACGUUUAGAACCAACACGUUUCUUCUCAGAAAAUACUGCCUUUCUGAAUGAAUAGAUUACCUUGGAAGUAGUUUUUAGGUCACAGGAAGGUCAAAGUGACUUAGCUGCUGGGGCAUUAAAAUGGCCAUUCAUUAUCAUGCUCUGCGAGUAUCUAUCACCAAAGCUGCUGUUUUUGUGUAUAAAGGAGGCCUGUGUGCAAGCAAAAAUCAUGCAUUACAGCAGAAGCAAUAAUGAAAUCUGUUCAAAAAAUCAAACUCAGCCAUCCUCAGUAAUGACCUUGAGCCAUGAUUCUCAUGUGCCUUUUAAGGAGGCCAUAUCUCCAUGUGUAAGGAAGCAGGGGGACCAUGACACUCACACACACUUUCAAAUCCAAUUAAAUUAAUAGCACUGGCUCAGCC
This 943-nucleotide long non-coding RNA is filed under the name Fukomys damarensis (Damara mole-rat). RNAcentral's name for it is "lncRNA (ENSFDAG00000031115.1)". Lineage: Eukaryota; Metazoa; Chordata; Mammalia; Rodentia; Bathyergidae. The record is from RNAcentral.